RNAcentral lists this ribosomal RNA (853 nucleotides) under Vittaforma corneae. Its description in RNAcentral is "SSU rRNA". It matches the Rfam family "Microsporidia small subunit ribosomal RNA", at positions 268 to 1164 of the family's 1311-position model. The record is from RNAcentral. Lineage: Eukaryota; Fungi; Microsporidia; Nosematidae.
CCCACGUCCAAGGACGGCAGCAGGCGCGAAAAUUGCCCACUCUUUGCAGGAGGCAGUUAUGAGACGUGAAGAUGAGUAUCUUGUAAAGAGGGAUAGGAGAAUUGGAGGGCAAGUUUGGUGCCAGCAGCCGCGGUAAUACCGACUCCAAGAGUGUGUAUGAGAGAUGCUGCAGUUAAAAAGUCCGUAGUCAUAGAAGGGCAAAGAGAGAUGCGAGGUCUCACAGUGCGAUGAUGGAGGAGCCGAUGGGGAACAUAGUAUACCAGGGCGAGAGAUGAAAUGCCAAGACCCCUGGUGGACUGAGCGAGGCGAAGGCGAUGUUCUUGUAGGCAUUCGGUGAUCAAGGACGAAGGCUGGAGUAUCGAAAGUGAUUAGAUACCGCAGUAGUUCCAGCAGUAAAAGAUGCCGACAUGCUCAUUGGACACAGUGGGCAGGGAGAAAUCUUAGAGUUCGGGCUCUGGGGAUAGUAUGCUCGCAAGGGUGAAAAUUAAAGAAAUUGACGGAGCUACACCACAAGGAGUGGAUUGUGCGGCUUAAUUUGACUCAACGCGAGGAAACUUACCAGGGCCAAGUAUUGUGUAGAAACGAGCAAUACAGGAGUGGUGCAUGGUCGUUGGAAAUUGAUGGGAUGACUUUGACCUUAAAUGGUUGAAUGAGUGAGAUCUUUUGGACAUGUUCCGCACGGAACAGGAAGGAAAAGGCUAUAACAGAUCCGAGAUGCCCUCAGAUGCCCUGGGCUGCACGCGCAAUACAAUAGCAGGUAGAGAGAGAGACAGGAAGGUGCUCAGAUGGACUAUGUGCUGUAAGGCACAUACGAAAGAGGAAUUCCUAGUAAGUGUGUAUCAACAAUGGAUAU